Molecule: ribosomal RNA, 640 nt
Filed under: bacterium MRG2
Lineage: Bacteria
Description: bacterial SSU rRNA
Rfam family: Bacterial small subunit ribosomal RNA
Source: RNAcentral
CGGCGGCGGCUACCUGCAGUCGAGCGGAUGAAAGGAGCUUGCUCCUGGAUUCUCGGCGGACGGGUGAGUAAUGCCUAGGAAUCUGCCUGGUAGUGGGGGACAACGUUUCCAAAGGAACGCUAAUACCGCAUACGUCCUACGGGAGAAAGCAGGGGACCUUCGGGCCUUGCGCUAUCAGAUGAGCCUAGGUCGGAUUACCUAGUUGGUGAGGUAAUGGCUCACCAAGGCGACGAUCCGUAACUGGUCUGAGAGGAUGAUCAGUCACACUGGAACUGAGACACGGUCCAAACUCCUACGGGAGGCAGCAGUGGGGAAUAUUGGACAAUGGGCGAAAGCCUGAUCCAGCCAUGCCGCGUGUGUGAAGAAGGUCUUCAGAUUGUAAAGCACUUUAAGUUGGGAGGAAGGGUUGUAGAUUAAUACUCUGCAAUUUUGACGUUACCGACAGAAUAAGCACCGGCUAACUCUGUGCCAGCAGCCGCGGUAAUACAGAGGGUGCAAGCGUUAAUCGGAAUUACUGGGCGUAAAGCGCGCGUAGGUGGUUUGUUAAGUUGGAUGUGAAAUCCCCGGGCUCAACCUGGGAACUGCAUCCAAAACUGGCAAGCUAGAGUAUGGUAGAGGGUGGUGGAAUUUCCUGUGUAAC